ACCCGCUGAACUUAAGCAUAUCAAUAAGCGGAGGAAAAGAAACCAAUAGGGAUUGCCUCAGUAACGGCGAGUAAAGCGGCAAUAGCUCAAAUUUGAAAUCUAGCGCAAGCCCGAGUUGUAAUUUGUAGAGGAUGCUUCGGGGCAGCGGCCGGUCUAAGUUCCUUGGAAUAGGACGUCAUAGAGGGUGAGAAUCCCGUAUACGACCAGUUAGCACCCUAUACGUAGCUCCUUCGACGAGUCGAGUUGUUUGGGAAUGCAGCUCUAAAUGGGAGGUAAAUUUCUUCUAAAGCUAAAUACCGGCCCGUCUUAAAACACGGACCAAGGAGUCUAACAUCUAUACGAGUGUUUGGGUGUUAAACCCCUACGCGGAAUAAAAGUGAACGGAGGUAGGAACCGCAAGGUGCACCAUCGACCGAUCCUGAUAUCUUCGGAUAGAUUUAAGUAAGAGCAUAGCUAUUAGGACCCGAAAGAUGGUGAACUAUGCCUGAAUAGGGUGAAGCCAGAGGAAACUCUGGUAGAGGCUCGUAGCGGUUCUGACGUACAAAUCGAUCGUCAAACUUGGGUACAGGGGCGAAAGACUAAUCGAACCAUCUAGUAGCUGGUUCCUACCGAAGUUUCCCUCAGGA
Molecule: ribosomal RNA, 626 nt
Filed under: Clypeostroma spilomeum
Lineage: Eukaryota; Fungi; Ascomycota; Dothideomycetes
Description: LSU rRNA
Rfam family: Eukaryotic large subunit ribosomal RNA
Source: RNAcentral